This 458-nucleotide ribosomal RNA is filed under the name uncultured bacterium. Its description in RNAcentral is "bacterial SSU rRNA". It matches the Rfam family "Bacterial small subunit ribosomal RNA", at positions 340 to 786 of the family's 1533-position model. The record is from RNAcentral.
UACGGGAGGCAGCAGUGGGGAAUAUUGCACAAUGGGCGAAAGCCUGAUGCAGCUAUGCCGCGUGUAUGAAGAAGGCCUUAGGGUUGUAAAGUACUUUCAUCGGGGAGGAAAAAACAAAACUAAUAAUUUUAUUUCUUGACGUUACCCGAAAAAGAAGCACCGGCUAACUCCGUGCCAGCAGCCGCGGUAAUACGGAGGGUGCUAGCGUUAAUCAGAAUUACUGGGCGGUAAAGAGCACGUAGGUGGUUUUUUAAGUUCAGAUGUGAAAUCCCCGGGCUUAACCUAGGAACUGCAUUUUGAAACUGAAAUACUAGAGUAUCGUAGAGGGAGGUAGAAUUCUAGGUGUAGCGGUGAAAUGCGUAGAUAUCUGGAGGAAUACCUGUGGCGAAAGCGGCCUCCUAAACGAAUACUGACACUGAGGGUGCGAAAGCGUGGGGAGCAAACAGGGAUUAGAUACC